Molecule: non-coding RNA, 1029 nt
Organism: Pimephales promelas (fathead minnow)
Lineage: Eukaryota; Metazoa; Chordata; Actinopteri; Cypriniformes; Leuciscidae
Source: RefSeq, a predicted model, not a curated record
CUGUAAAAGUCUAGGCUACAACCUUAAAUGUUAUAGUAAUGUGCGGCCCACUUUACAGCAUUAGCAGAUUUUUUUUUAUCCUUGUGAAACGUUUAAUUUUAAUUGAAUUAACUUAAAGACAAAGAAAUUUUUUUCAUUAAACCACUGUUUAAAAAAAAGUAGCUUAUUUAGCAAUUUUAGCUUUCUAAACCGAGACGUCAUAACCGUGGGAAACUGUCAUUUUUGUGUAUCGUUACACCCCUAAUUAUAAGUGUGUUCUAAAGAGUGUCCAGAAUACUCUUAAAAAAAAAAAAAACUCCCAUACACAAUUUAUUUGAAGUUUAUUAGCAUGCUCCACAAGUGUUUUCCACCCGCAUCUUUGCAGAGAACCCAAAUGUGCAGAGCAGAUUCCCAUCAAGAGAAAGUUCAUAGGCCUGGGCUGAUCAGCAGCGGACGCCCACAGAGCCGAACCCAGCGAGAAGCUGUGAGAUCAACUCAUCAAGCACCUGUUCGCAUGUCUCAUCACAGAUUCCCCGUGUUCCCCCUGCCUGCUUUACUGCCACUUAAGAACAGCGGAUUCAUCAUGCAUGAGUUCGUGAUAUUUCAUUGACAUUCUGAUGAAGAGAACUGUAAUUAAAUGUCGUCUUUUCGCUGGUGGGGAAGAGGCAGCUUACAGGAAUAAGGAGGUGGCCAGUCUGAUGUCAUGGAGACAAUAAUAUCAUCCUCAACAAGGACGGAGGAAAUGAUAGUGGACAUGAGAAAGAAGAGGAGUACGCAUCAGCCACUGUUCAUCCGGGAGCUUCAAGUGGAUAGGGUUGACCUCGCAGGUGUCCACUGGAUGUCACUUGUCCCCUGUCAGGAGACCAUGGAACCAUGAAGAACAAAGGGAAUAUAAAAGACUUGACCAUUCAACCAAAAUCUGGCCAUGUACGUUAAAUGAACAGCUCGGGAAAAAAAUAAAAAUAAAAUAAAAAACCUUUCUAUCUCAGCCUUGUUUCAAAAGCGUAUGAACUGAGGGGCUUAUUUCGACCUCCAAAAUGACCAAAAAUC